AUUGAACGCUGGCGGCAUGCCUUACACAUGCAAGUCGAACGGUAACGCGGGGCAAUCUGGCGACGAGUGGCGAACGGGUGAGUAAUGCAUCGGAACGUGCCUGGUAGUGGGGGAUAACUGCUCGAAAGAGCAGCUAAUACCGCAUACGACCGGAGGGUGAAAGGGAGGGAUCGCAAGACCUCUCGCUAUCAGAGCGGCCGAUGUCGGAUUAGCUAGUUGGUGGGGUAAAGGCCCACCAAGGCAACGAUCCGUAGCUGGUCUGAGAGGACGACCAGCCACACUGGGACUGAGACACGGCCCAGACUCCUACGGGAGGCAGCAGUGGGGAAUUUUGGACAAUGGACGCAAGUCUGAUCCAGCCAUGCCGCGUGCGGGAAGAAGGCCUUCGGGUUGUAAACCGCUUUUGUCAGGGAAGAAAUCUUCUGGGCUAAUACCCUGGGAGGAUGACGGUACCUGAAGAAUAAGCACCGGCUAACUACGUGCCAGCCGCCGCCGUAA
Molecule: ribosomal RNA, 498 nt
Filed under: uncultured bacterium
Lineage: Bacteria
Description: partial 16S ribosomal RNA
Rfam family: Bacterial small subunit ribosomal RNA
Source: RNAcentral